AGCCAGACUCCUACGGGAGGCAGCAUUGGGGAAUAUUGCACAAUGGGGGAAACCCUGAUGCAGCGACGCCGCGUGAGUGAAGAAGUAUUUCGGUAUGUAAAGCUCUAUCAGCAGGAACGAGACAAGACGGUACCUGACUAAGAAGCCCCGGCUAACUACGUGCCAGCAGCCGCGGUAAUACGUAGGGGGCAAGCGUUAUCCGGAUUUACUGGGUGUAAGGGGAGCGUAGGCGGCGAUGCAAGUCAGAAGUGAAAGCCCGGGGCUCAACUCCGGGACUGCUUUUGAAACUGUGUUGCUAGAUUGCAGGAGAGGUAAGUGGAAUUCCUAGUGUAGCGGUGAAAUGCGUAGAUAUUAGGAGGAACACCAGUGGCGAAGGCGGCUUACUGGACUGUAACUGACGUUGAGGCUCGAAAGCGUGGGGAGCAAACAGGAUUAGAUACCCUCGUA
RNAcentral lists this ribosomal RNA (447 nucleotides) under uncultured bacterium. Its description in RNAcentral is "bacterial SSU rRNA". It matches the Rfam family "Bacterial small subunit ribosomal RNA", at positions 329 to 792 of the family's 1533-position model. The record is from RNAcentral.